GAAAUUAAGUUGCAGUGUUGCUGUUAUAUGUUGUGUUGACUGACAGCCGUAGGAAUGCAUCAAAGAAUUGUACGAAUGAUACAAAAUAAUUGAUCAAACCAAAAAUUUAUAUUGAAAACGACACAGAGGUGUUCUCAUUUGAUGAAGGAAAGAAUUUGACGUUUCUACAACGUAACGUCUUAUCCUGCUGCCGACAUCUUUUGGUGGCGUUUAAAAUAUGAUGGAUCCAACGAGCAGAUUUAAACAAGUUGUUCUGCGGCUGAGCAACAUUGCAAAUAUCAUGACGGAAAAAAAAUUACAAGAAACAAAUUUGAAGUAAAGUCUGUCAGAUUCCCUGAUGAUAAUAUAACCUACAAGAUCAAUGUAAGCAAUAUGAAAGGAUAUGAGAUCAAGAAUAUUUCAAUACAAAUUCUCGGUUAGUCCUGUUCGAAAAAGUAUUUGAGUUAAGCCUAGCAUUGAAAUUUGAAACGAAAAUAUAGUUUUGAAGAAAGGAUUUUCGGUGUUGAAAUGUACAUUAAACCAGAGACA
This is a long non-coding RNA of Xenia sp. Carnegie-2017, 528 nucleotides long. RefSeq lists it as uncharacterized. The record is from RefSeq and is a predicted model, not a curated record. The transcript is spliced from 3 exons. NCBI's taxonomy places the organism in Eukaryota, Metazoa, Cnidaria, Anthozoa, Malacalcyonacea, Xeniidae.